RNAcentral lists this transfer RNA (63 nucleotides) under Agriotes sp. GTI-106. Its description in RNAcentral is "tRNA-Leu". It matches the Rfam family "tRNA". Rfam says of the family: Transfer RNA (tRNA) molecules are approximately 80 nucleotides in length. Their secondary structure includes four short double-helical elements and three loops (D, anti-codon, and T loops). The record is from RNAcentral. Lineage: Eukaryota; Metazoa; Arthropoda; Insecta; Coleoptera; Elateridae.
GUUACUUUGGCAGAGUAGUGCAAUUGAUUUAGAAUCUUUAAAUGUAAAUUUUUACAGGUAAUA